GGGUUUAGCUCAGUGGUAGAGCGCUUGCCUAGUAUGUGUGAGGCACAGAGUUUGAUCCUCAGCAUCACA
RNAcentral lists this transfer RNA (69 nucleotides) under Marmota monax (woodchuck). Its description in RNAcentral is "tRNA.Thr". The record is from RNAcentral. Lineage: Eukaryota; Metazoa; Chordata; Mammalia; Rodentia; Sciuridae.